UCAACCAGUGUGUCUGAAGAUGUGAACCUCCACGCAGAGAGAACGCAUCAUGUUAGAAAAGUGUCUUUAGAAUAAUGUUCUUACAAAUUUAACAUAUUGUUCCAAACACUUAUAGCUUAUUUCAACAGAAGCAUCUAAUCCACCAAAGGUUUCCAUGGUUUCCAUCACUGCUGCCGUCCUCCAUGAAGCACAAGAGACAAGACUACAGGUCUACAAGGCUGUGGCUCGGUGCCUGGGCUCUGGAUGGGACGGGACGUCGGCUAAAUGAUCCGCCAGCUGCUGCGAAGGCUGGAAAUGACUCACUGCUGCUGGAUGGGAAACAAAUGCUGCAGCUCUGAGAGCAAAGCAGCAGCAGCAGCUUGGUGUGUGGAGGGUCUGAUCACUGGGAAAACCAUCCAGGAAGAUCCUGCCUCCUGUCAUGGCUCCAGUUUCACUCAGGUGGGACUUAACUUACAUUAUCAGCGAUUCAGGCAAAAAUUGAAAUUUUUUCCAAGAAAUCAAGCUUGUUUUACUUCCUGUUAUUCUGAGUCCUAAUCUGUGAUUUGUUACAAACUGUGAACGUUGUGUUAACUUGUGUUUAUCAUUUCAUAACAAGUUAAAACUUUCAACCUUGUGGUUGGGAAACGACUGCUCUACCCACUGCUGCACUGUCGCCCCCAAAUUACACCCAAUUACAAUUAAUUACAAUAUCAGGUAUCAGGUAUCAGACGAGUGAGAGGGUCUUCCUUCUAAAGCAGUAACAACCAUGAUGAAGCAAGGUGCGUGUCUGACUUCCUGUACCAUCCAUGUUUAGGCCCAUUCAAACUGAAGAACAAUGAUCCUGUACUGUAACUAUUGUCACAGUGUUGAUCAGACAAGCAGACAAAUUAAAGAGUCCCGGUUUGUAAACCAGCACACAGCUGUGAGCUCCUUUACUUUUCUGUAAAUUAAUAGAAGCAACUAUCUGACGUGUCCAUCCAUCCAUUAUCUACACCGUUUAUUCCUGAACAGGGUUGCAGGGCUGGAGCCAAUCCCAGCUGACGCUGGGCGAGAGGCGGGGUCCACCCUGGUCAGGUCACUAGUCUGUUGCAGGGCUGACACGUGUGAUAAUGUGGAAUAAUUCACUGCUUUAACUCAGAUGCGAUGGGAUAAGAAUAAUGGGACUGUACCUCCAUUAUCCAGCUGAUGGCUGGAGGUCAGGGAGCCCUCGCUUGGCUGUUUUUUACUCAUUUUCUGCCUUGGUCCAGCUGUUGCUGCCUCUGAUUGCGACUGAGCUCUGUGUGAAGACAAAGGGGUGAUUAAAGCGGAACCAGUGACAUUUCCCUUUAAAUGGACCCUCUGCUCCUCCUCCAGCCCACCACUGAUCCAGACAUUGCAUCUUUUCCACCUCACCAUUUGAAAACAGUUACUGUCCUGCCAACAUUCUGCUCAGAAAUGCAUAAAUUAUAUAAACUCACUGUGUCUUAAUUUGCUUUUACAGACAGACUACUUGGAUUAGCUGGUUUAGAACCACAGCGAUUAGUCAAUUAAUCAUCAGAUACUGGGAAAAAAUAGCUGACAACUGAUUUCUAUUUGGAUCAUUUCUUUAGCCAAUGAAGA
This is a long non-coding RNA of Monopterus albus (swamp eel), 1578 nucleotides long. RefSeq lists it as uncharacterized. The transcript is spliced from 4 exons. NCBI's taxonomy places the organism in Eukaryota, Metazoa, Chordata, Actinopteri, Synbranchiformes, Synbranchidae. The record is from RefSeq and is a predicted model, not a curated record.